GGAGAUCCGAGUUCCCGUACGAUCACUGAAGUUAAGCAACGUCAAGCCUGGUCAAUACUUAGAAGGGUGACGGCUUGAGAAUAUCAGCUGCUGUAAG
This is a non-coding RNA of Acanthosepion pharaonis, 97 nucleotides long. Lineage: Eukaryota; Metazoa; Mollusca; Cephalopoda; Sepiida; Sepiidae. The record is from the annotation of a GenBank genome assembly.